RNA transcript from Ostrea edulis (European flat oyster), 5355 nucleotides. RefSeq lists it as uncharacterized. The transcript is spliced from 5 exons. The record is from RefSeq and is a predicted model, not a curated record. Lineage: Eukaryota; Metazoa; Mollusca; Bivalvia; Ostreida; Ostreidae.
UUUUUUUUAAAAAUAUAACGAAUUACUGGGAGUAAAUUGGAAUGCAUUUUAAAACGGGAUUCGUUUUAAAAUCAAAAGUGAUAGAUCUACGUCUGAUAAUUAUACAAUACCAUUAAUCCAAAUUUGAAUUUAGAAACACAAAUUGAUAGCAUUCCUGUUAAGUUGUCGUUUAACUAUGUUAACGUACGUUAUAACAACUCUCAUUUCAGUGGCGGAUUUAAAGGGCGCAGUCGGCGCCCCCCCCCCCCCCCCCCCCCUAAAAUUUUCAAAUUUAAGGUAAAUCGUGAUAUCUUGUUUAGACAAAUGUACUAAACGAUAAAAGAAGCAAUAUUUUCUUUCACUCCCGGAGAAAUGAAUGACAAAAUCUUUUUGCUUUCUUGAAUUACUUCAUUGGGAGAACUUAAUUUUUUCCAAAAACCCUUAAAAUUUGCGUCAUUUUACUAAUUUCACCUAAUUAAUAAUGAUAAAAAAUAGUAAAAAUGGCUUAAAUAGGAGACAUAUUUUAAGCCCUAUAAAAUCUGUAAAAUCCCGGAGCUUUCGCCGCCUGGACCCUCUUGGGGCCUCAAGGCGGCCCCCAAAACUCCUGCCUCAUAAAGUGGCGCCCCUCGUAACAGCAAUUCCUGGAUCCACCCCUGCAUUUCCUCUUCACCCCUCCCCCUUUGACAAAUUUCUAGAUCCGGACCUGUCUCGCUCUGCCUGAGGAAUGGAUUCUCGCCGACAAGUAAUGUCACUGAACUAUAUUUAUUCAUUUACUAUUUAACCUUAAAUUUAUUCAUUCAUUUAUGCAUAUUUGUGUUGAAAGUGAGUUCUAAACACAUAGGCAUAAGUAAAAUGAUUGCGUAAAUGUGACCUUAAUCUGGAAUGGUAAAAUUGAUGCUGCGUCUUUCCGUGCGAAUUCACCGGUGUUCAGGUCGUUAGAAAUUAAAAUAUUACCAUUUCUAUAUAAUGUUUCUUUUUCCCCACAAUAUAAGAUCAAAUAUUUGUGAUUGAAAUUAAUAUACGACAGUAAUCGGAAUUGAAUUCAUGGACACGCAAUAUAAUCAGCAUAAUAUUUGACGUAUGACGGUACAAUUUCGUUACGUUGACAUUUCUAAUAUUUUUACAGAUGUGUCACAAAAAUUGUCAUUAAAACGUUAAAUAACGUGAUAUCAGCAUAAAUUUGGUAUUUUUGUGAACAGAAAAUGAUACAUUAUAAAAUUCUAGGAAAAACUAAAAAUGUGAAAUUUUUACCGUAAGGGUCCUUUUCUCAUGACGCCAGUCAUUUAUUUCCAAAUUGUACACCUCCAUUAAAUUCAAGAUUAUUUUGGCAUUUGUAACACAAAACUAUCGUCACACCAGAUUGAAAGUCAAAAGUACAGUGCAAUGCUUUCCUGUUUGUAUUUUCUGUAUUCGGAGAUUGGUUUUUAAACUUGGGUGAAGAAUUUUAAAAUACUUUAACUUCAGUGUUGGUUUAUAAAGGAGAGGGGUCUGUUAAAGGAGUUUAAUUGCUCAUCCGCAGGUUUUUAAAUGAAUUGUCAUAUCAAAAAAUACCGUCUCCAUCGACAUUGCUUUCUCCUCGUUCAAACCUUUUCCCGUAACAACUGACAAUUUAUUAAUAAAUGAUAGAACAUUUAAUGCUAAAUAUAAAUCUUAACAUUUUGGUAUUUUAAGUAGUGUUUAUGAAUAAAUCAUAUGUUAAGAGGUUACCAAUGGCGUUUGUCUUUUUUUUUUAUAUCUGCGGCACGAUGACGAGUUUCUUCAAUUAGUAUUUGUGCUUUCAUUGCUGGUUGUCCAUGGGACAUCAGACAUAGUAUCUAUCUUUAGAUAAGCACGGACAUUUGGGUAACCAAGUUCCGCUAAUCUGGAUAACUGUAUGUCUUAAGUAUUGACGCGGAGAAAAACGCACACUUCAAAUCUUAAUAGGUUCCGUUACAACAAAAUAUUUCCGUUGACAAUAUUGGAUUGAUAUUUUUUGACGAGCAUUGUCUUCUAGAAAACCAAACAAAGGACACAUUAUGUACAUCUGAAGAGGUGGAACAAUUAUACAUCAGACAGUACUCUGUUUCUGUUACAAUACAUACCUAUAACGACUGCAUUACAAACUGAUUCUGAUUCAUUGUCACGUGGAUUUUUGUGUUCAUGUGUUAACUUCAAAACCGAAAGUAGAAGGGGAUUCCAUUGCAUGUAGAUUAUUUAUAUCUGAAGUAAAUCUAAUGUUUUGUACUGCUAUUCAACGUUUCGUUUGGAGUUGUGCUUUAAAUCCUCGAUUUUUAAAGACAUCCGACAUGGCGAUUAUCAUCAUUGUGAUCUGGAUUGCUCUGUUUUUCCACGUGCGAGCAAGGGUCAUCUCUAAUGUGACAAACCUAGAGGAGCUGAAAAAAGGUUUCUGCCACCAGGAAAGAAAAACUGUGAGGGUUUCCUUUGGCUGUGAUAUCUACAAGGCUACUGUUACAGUUGAAACAUAUGAAAAUAUGUUUGCCCAAUGUUCAAAUACCUCGAAUGGUGUUUUUUGUUCUCCUAGAACAUACAUGUACAAUGAAAGUAAUGGAAUACUCGAAUUUAACUUCACGUUUGAUUAUUCACAACACGCUGGAAAAUCAAUGUGGAUAAAUUACACGUGUGACAUCGAGAACAACGAGACGGAGUUUUCAGAAAGCCUUCCCUUGCGCCCAUGCCAUUACAUGAACGUUGGACUGAUUGGAACGGGGUACGACAAUGUUAAUUUUCUUGAUGAAUAAUGCGUCUCUUAACACUUAAUAUUAUACAUUGCCUAAUUUGUAUAUGACCAAUAAGAGACGAGAAUGCGAAAAAGAAUUAAUUCAUAUAAUAAUGCUAUUGAUACAUAUAAUAAUCAAUAUUGAUACUGAUACAAACCAAGAAUGAUAGAUAUAAAUAUCUAUUUUGUAUUGCUUAUAGGAGUUAUCGUUAUCCCAUAAGCAAUACAAAAUAGAUAGUUGGGCAAACACAGACCCCUGAACACACCAGAGGUGGGAUCAGGUGCCUAGGAGGAGUAAGCAUUCCCUGUCAACCGGUCACAUCCGCCGUGAGCUCUAUAUCUUGAUCAGGUAAACGGAGUUAUCUGUAGUCAAAAUCAGUGUGCCACGAAUGGUCUAACAAUCGGUAUUAAACACUUCAAGCAACAUUUGGCCCACUAUUGAUGAUGAUAAAUAUUGACAAUGCAAAAAAUACAUAUUGAUAAAUCUUAAUUUAUGCUAAACAUUGAUAAUGCUAAAAAUUGAUAAUGCUAAAAGUUGAUAUUGCUAAAUUGAUAAUGCUAAAUAUUGAUAAUGCCAAAUAUUGAUAAGUAUUGAUAAUGCUCAAUAUUGAUAAUGCUAAAUAUUGAUAAUGCCAAAUAUUGAUAAUGAAAAAUAUUGAUAAUGCUAAAUAUUAAUAAUGUUAAACAUUGAUAAUGCUAAACAUUAAUAUUACUAAAUAUUGAUGAUACUAAAUACUAAUAAUGAUAAAUAUUGAUGACGAUAGGUAGUGUUUUCGAUAGAUAUUGUUAUUGAUAAAUAUUGAUAGUGAAAAAUAUUGAUAUUGAUAUAUAUUUACAAAGAUAAAUAUUGGUACUGAUAAUAUUGAUGAUAAUGAAUAUUGAUAAUGAUGAAUAUUUAUAUCAAUGAAUGUUGAUAAUGUAUAACAUUGAUAACGAUCAAUACUGAUAAUGACCAUACUGAUAGUGAUGUUAUUGAUAAUGAUGAAGUCUGAUAAUGAUACGUAUUGAUGAUUGCUGAUAAUGAUAAAAAAUAAUAAAGAGGAGUAUUAAUAAUAUUGAUAACAUUGAAUAUAUUGAUAAUGAAUUAUUUACCAUUUCAAGUCUCAGGAUUUAUUGCAUAUGCGACCCACAAUGACACACAUGUUAACAUCGUGUGUAAACAUGCCGACUUCAACAUGUCACAAGGUAUCAGCAUCGUGGAUAACAGUACAGGCAACCAUUUAAUGACCUGUCAGUGGAAUCAAAAACUAAAACUGCCUCAAUGCCAUCCCCAAUCCAAAGGACUCUCCACUGGUAUAGAUGGAUUCAUUACGGAAUACAAAGCAGGAUCAGGAUUCAUAUGUACUAUGGAUGGUCAGAGUAUUGGAGUGGAUCUACAUGCGAAUACUGAUAUACAGUCAACAGCAAAAACAGUAUUCCAGUCUGCAGAAAAUGGAGGUGGUUAUCUCGUUUCCUACAUACUGCAUAUAUUUCCACACCUCUGUGUUGCUGUGUUUGUGCAGUAUACUGUUAUCAAUGUGUAGAGCUACAGGCACCAGAACAGAAAUAAUGAAGGAUUCCUACGUUAUCUAUUGAACGAAAUUUCAGCACUUGCAAUGGGAAGGUGUCGAAAUGUGUCAAUAGAUGAUACCACAGAAAGCAAGUCUCCGUGGUGCAGCAAAUGUGGCAGAAUAAAGACCCUCUGCUUAAAGGUUGUACGUGCCGACCAUAGUCUCAGAUUUAACACCCCUUCACUGGCAAUGGUCACAUUCUCGAGCUGGACGUUCAACAAUAUAUACCAACAAACUAUCAUCAAGCUAUAUAUCUAAUAUGUAUCCCUGAUCGGGACAUGGUGUUCACGGCGGGUGUUAGCAGUCGUCAUAGGAUUCUCACUCCUCUUAGACACCCGAUCCCACCUCAGGUAUACCCAACGUUCUUUAUUCCUUAUAGGAGUUAUGAGACUGAUCAUUGUUCGUUAUCUUCCCCUUUCAUAUCUUGGUGUAAAAUAGAGCGUGUAUGAAGAUGUUUAUGUUUGUGUGUGCGAUGCAGUUGUAUUUGUGAUAUAAGUUCUGAGAGACGUUAUACUUAUAAGUUUCUUAUAAAAAAAAAUGUAUUUGUGAUAAAGCUCUGAGAGAUGUUAGAAUGUUUGAUUAGUUUUUUUUUUAAUAAUAAAAUUUUUGUAUAUGUGACAUGAUUUCCGAGAGACAUUAGAAUGAUAAGUGUGUUACAAUAAUACUUGUAUUGGUGACGUAAUUUCUGAGAGAUGGUAGAAUUAUAAGUUUUGUUCUAAUAAACUGUUGUAUGUGUGAUAUAAGUUCUGAGAGACGUUGGAAUUUUAAAAAAAAGUUUGUUACAAUAAAAUUUGAGUUUGUGAUAUAAUUUAUGAAAGAUGUUAGAAUUAUGAGUUUGUUUCAUAUAAUUUAGUAUUUGUGAUACAACUCCUGAGAAACGUUAGAAUCAUAAGUUUGUUACAAUAAUAUUUGUUUUUGUGUUAUAAUUUCUGGAAAAGAAAAACACACGUUAAAAUCAAAAGUAUGUUACAAUAAUAUUUACAUUUUUGAUAUCUUUGAGAGACAGUAGAAUUUAUAAUAAGUUUGUUACAAUAAAAUUUUGUAUGUGUGAUAUAAUUCCUGAGAGACGUUAGGAUUAUGAGUUUAUUACAAUAAAAUAUUCACAUCCAC